GAAAUGCGAUAAGUAAUGUGAAUUGCAGAAUUCAGUGAAUCAUCGAAUCUUUGAACGCACCUUGCGCUCCUUGGUAUUCCUUGGAGCAUGCCUGUUUGAGUAUCAUGAAAUCUUCAAAGUAAAUCUUUUGUUAACUCAAUUGGUUUCUACUUUGGUAUUGGAGGUCUUUGCAGCUUCACACCUGCUCCUCUUUGUUCAUUAGCUGGAUCUCAGUGUUAUGCUUGGUUCCACUCGGCGUGAUAAGUUAUCUAUCGCUGAGGACACUGUAAAAGUUGGCCAAGGUAAAUGCAGAUGAACCGCUUCUAAUAGUCCAUUGACUUGGACAAUACUUUUAUGAUCUGAUCUCGAAUCAGGUAGGACUACCCGCUGAACUUAAGC
Molecule: unclassified non-coding RNA, 378 nt
Filed under: plant metagenome
Description: partial contains 5.8S ribosomal RNA, internal transcribed spacer 2, and large subunit ribosomal RNA
Rfam family: 5.8S ribosomal RNA (bases 1-105)
Source: RNAcentral